CUUGCUUCUCUUGAGAGCGGCGGACGGGUGAGUAAUGCCUAGGAAUCUGCCUGGUAGUGGGGGAUAACGUUCGGAAACGGACGCUAAUACCGCAUACGUCCUACGGGAGAAAGCAGGGGACCUUCGGGCCUUGCGCUAUCAGAUGAGCCUAGGUCGGAUUAGCUAGUUGGUGGGGUAAUGGCUCACCAAGGCGACGAUCCGUAACUGGUCUGAGAGGAUGAUCAGUCACACUGGAACUGAGACACGGUCCAGACUCCUACGGGAGGCAGCAGUGGGGAAUAUUGGACAAUGGGCGAAAGCCUGAUCCAGCCAUGCCGCGUGUGUGAAGAAGGUCUUCGGAUUGUAAAGCACUUUAAGUUGGGAGGAAGGGUUGUAGAUUAAUACUCUGCAAUUUUGACGUUACCGACAGAAUAAGCACCGGCUAACUCUGUGCCAGCAGCCGCGGUAAUACAGAGGGUGCAAGCGUUAAUCGGAAUUACUGGGCGUAAAGCGCGCGUAGGUGGUUUGUUAAGUUGGAUGUGAAAUCCCCGGGCUCAACCUGGGAACUGCAUUCAAAACUGACUGACUAGAGUAUGGUAGAGGGUGGUGGAAUUUCCUGUGUAGCGGUGAAAUGCGUAGAUAUAGGGAAGGAACACCAGUGGCGA
This 644-nucleotide ribosomal RNA is filed under the name uncultured bacterium. RNAcentral describes it as "bacterial SSU rRNA". It matches the Rfam family "Bacterial small subunit ribosomal RNA", at positions 79 to 718 of the family's 1533-position model. The record is from RNAcentral.